UCCCAACCCUUGGCAGCUGCAUGCAGCAUAUCAUGGCGUUCACUCGCCUCCUCGUUGUCCUCCUCGGCGCUGCAUUUCCGCUGCUCUUAUUAUUCUCCCCUGCAGGUGAAUAACAAUUGAUCGAUCAUGCACACGCACAAAAUUAAUUAAACACUAGCGCUAUCUAGCUAGUUACUGAUUGAUGAUAUAUUAUAUGUUGUGAAUGAAUGAAUGAAUAUAUGAUUGCAGUGGCGAGUGAAUUGGGCGUGAGCUACGGGAGGGUGGCGAACGACCUGCCGGACCCGUCGUCGGUGGUGAAGCUGCUCGGAGACAACGGCAUCACCAUGGUGAGGAUCUACGACGCCAACUCCAACGUGCUUAGUUCGCUGGCCA
Molecule: long non-coding RNA, 372 nt
Filed under: Sorghum bicolor (sorghum)
Lineage: Eukaryota; Viridiplantae; Streptophyta; Magnoliopsida; Poales; Poaceae
Description: long non-coding RNA (SBIC_LNC003792)
Source: RNAcentral